This 450-nucleotide ribosomal RNA is filed under the name uncultured bacterium. Its description in RNAcentral is "bacterial SSU rRNA". It matches the Rfam family "Bacterial small subunit ribosomal RNA", at positions 354 to 796 of the family's 1533-position model. The record is from RNAcentral.
GUGGGGAAUAUUGGACAAUGGGCGAAAGCCUGAUCCAGCCAUGCCGCGUGUGUGAAGAAGGUCUUCGGAUUGUAAAGCACUUUAAGUUGGGAGGAAGGGCAGUAAGUUAAUACCUUGCUGUUUUGACGUUACCGACAGAAUAAGCACCGGCUAACUUCGUGCCAGCAGCCGCGGUAAUACGAAGGGUGCAAGCGUUAAUCGGAAUUACUGGGCGUAAAGCGCGCGUAGGUGGUUUGGUAAGUUGGAGGUGAAAUCCCCGGGCUCAACCUGGGAACUGCCUCCAAAACUGCAUGACUAGAGUACGGUAGAGGGGAGUGGAAUUUCCUGUGUAGCGGUGAAAUGCGUAGAUAUAGGAAGGAACACCAGUGGCGAAGGCGACUACCUGGACUGAUACUGACACUGAGGUGCGAAAGCGUGGGGAGCAAACAGGAUUAGAAACCCUAGUAGUCC